ACGCUCGACACCUACGGGAGCAGCAGUGAGGAAUAUUGGUCAAUGGACGCAAGUCUGAACCAGCCAUGCCGCGUGCAGGAUGACGGCUCUAUGAGUUGUAAACUGCUUUUGUACGAGGGUAAACGCAGAUACGUGUAUCUGUCUGAAAGUAUCGUACGAAUAAGGAUCGGCUAACUCCGUGCCACCAGCCGCGGUAAUCUGAGCGGGCUGGCAAGGC
This 217-nucleotide ribosomal RNA is filed under the name uncultured bacterium. RNAcentral describes it as "partial 16S ribosomal RNA". It matches the Rfam family "Bacterial small subunit ribosomal RNA", at positions 328 to 539 of the family's 1533-position model. The record is from RNAcentral.